GGUUUGGAUCUGUAAAAGCAGCAAAGAAUCCUGUAGUACCUUAUAGCUUAACAGACGUAUUGGAGCAUAAGCCUUUGUGGGUGAAUACCCACUUCGUCAGA
Long non-coding RNA from Dermochelys coriacea (leatherback sea turtle), 101 nucleotides. RefSeq lists it as uncharacterized. The record is from RefSeq and is a predicted model, not a curated record. The transcript is spliced from 3 exons. Lineage: Eukaryota; Metazoa; Chordata; Testudines; Dermochelyidae.